CGAUCAGUUUAUCAGACACUUCAGGCUCAAUCUCACAAAGCGUCCCAUAAACACAGCUUCAGGGUGACCCCACAUCUGUAAGACCGUCCCCACAUGCACAACUUUAGGAUGAACCCAGAAUUCUGGCUGAGAUGAUCGAGUUGGCAACUACACUAUGAAAGUGUUUGACUCAACACCUGAUGAUGCCCACCAAAAGUGCAGAGGCUGCUGUUCACCUGUUGCUGUCUGUCACAAUUACAAUGGAGGGACUGAGAGACAAAUCUGAGUAAUUGCAGUCAGUAAUGACAAAGAACUUUUGUAAUCAAUUAAUUAUGUGUCAUGGAGUCACAAUUUGCAUGUAUUGUGUGUGUAGUUGUUAAAAUGUGUGCAGAUUUUGCUUGCUGC
Myxocyprinus asiaticus (Chinese sucker) is the source of this 384-nucleotide long non-coding RNA. RefSeq lists it as uncharacterized. The record is from RefSeq and is a predicted model, not a curated record. The transcript has 3 exons. NCBI's taxonomy places the organism in Eukaryota, Metazoa, Chordata, Actinopteri, Cypriniformes, Catostomidae.